UACGGGGGGGGCAAGCGUUGUUCGGAAUUACUGGGCGUAAAGGGCUCGUAGGCGGCCAACUAAGUCAGACGUGAAAUCCCUCGGCUUAACCGGGGAACUGCGUCUGAUACUGGAUGGCUUGAGUUCGGGAGAGGGAUGCGGAAUUCCAGGUGUAGCGGUGAAAUGCGUAGAUAUCAGGAGGAACACCGGUGGCGAAGGCGGUUCUCUGGGCAUGUCCUGACGCUGAGGAGCGAAAGUGUGGGGAGCGAACAGG
This 253-nucleotide ribosomal RNA is filed under the name uncultured bacterium. Its description in RNAcentral is "partial 16S ribosomal RNA". It matches the Rfam family "Bacterial small subunit ribosomal RNA", at positions 524 to 776 of the family's 1533-position model. The record is from RNAcentral.